This 194-nucleotide non-coding RNA is filed under the name Moraxella macacae. RNAcentral's name for it is "Glycine sequence". It matches the Rfam family "Glycine riboswitch aptamer". Rfam says of the family: This family represents the bacterial glycine riboswitch. Glycine riboswitches usually consist of two metabolite-binding aptamers domains with similar structures in tandem. The record is from RNAcentral. Lineage: Bacteria; Pseudomonadati; Pseudomonadota; Gammaproteobacteria; Moraxellales; Moraxellaceae. RNAcentral also lists the same sequence under 1 other name.
AAUGAUAAAUCUGGAGAGUGUGUUUUUUGUAAAAACACCACCGAAGGGGAAAAAACGACUUUUGACGGCUUAGCAAAUUUACGUUGUUAGCCCAUGUUACAUAUUAUUCUAUACUGCAUUUUAUUCUAUGCUACAUUUUAUGUUGCGUGUCAAAAUUCGUUGAAAAUCUCAGGUAACAGGACAGAUGGGGCACU